CACGUAGGGCGCAAGCGUUGUCCGGAAUUAUUGGGCGUAAAGAGCUCGUAGGCGGCUUAUUGCGUCUGCUGUGAAAUCCCGGGGCUUAACUCCGUGCUUGCAGUGGAUACGGGCAGGCUAGAGGCAGGCAGGGGAGAAUGGAAUUCCCGGUGUAGCGGUGAAAUGCGCAGAUAUCGGGAGGAACACCGGUGGCGAAGGCGGUUCUCUGGGCCUGUACUGACGCUGAGGAGCGAAAGCGUGGGGAGCGAACAGG
This 253-nucleotide ribosomal RNA is filed under the name uncultured bacterium. Its description in RNAcentral is "partial 16S ribosomal RNA". It matches the Rfam family "Bacterial small subunit ribosomal RNA", at positions 524 to 776 of the family's 1533-position model. The record is from RNAcentral.